Long non-coding RNA from Mytilus californianus (California mussel), 846 nucleotides. RefSeq lists it as uncharacterized. The record is from RefSeq and is a predicted model, not a curated record. NCBI's taxonomy places the organism in Eukaryota, Metazoa, Mollusca, Bivalvia, Mytilida, Mytilidae. The transcript is spliced from 3 exons.
UAGACAAAGCAUCAACAAUCUCUAACCAAAGCGUAAUUACAACAACGUUAAUGGAGAAAGAUUCUAGCGCCAGUUUUGAUAUAGGUCCAGUUAUUGGUGGCAUUGCAGGUGCUAUCACACUAUUGGCUGUUUUGUUUGUGAUGAUUUUUUGUAAAAUAAGGUCAUGUGGAUUUUUCAAAACGUCUAAUACGGAUAGGCAAGAAGUCCUCAAUAUAGUUCUAUGAGCAUUUACAAAAUCCAGAAGUUAGAACAAGUGUGACGCCGACAUCUAAAGAAUCAUAUGGCUUAGCUUCAAUCAAUUCAAGCAAUACGUAUGCACGCAUCAACAAAAUCAGAAAAACGGAUUCAAAAUUACAAAAUUCGGAUCAAAAACGUAUAUUGAAACAUCAUACGGAGACUAUGAUUGAUUAAAUGGUGUAUCGAAACGGCGAACAGAUUCAAAAGAAAAUUUAUAUGACGACAAUGGCAGGGAAUCGUAACGAAAAUGACCCAAAUUACGACAGUUCUAAUUUUGGAGAAAGAAAACUUCAAUUUGAAAACGAUGCGUAUGAUCAUACAGACACAGUAUCGCAAGACGGAACUACGAUUAUUCAUCAACUCUCAGAUCAGAAAAUAGAAAUGAAAAUGAUAAAGUAGUCUAACAGCAACAUUUAAUUUCCAGAAAAGAAUAUUAGUAAUGCAGUUCUAGGGAAUACGAAAAUAAUCAUAUGUUACGUCUGUUAUUCAUAUAGUCUUGUGUGUUACUCUGAUUUCAGUUGAUGACUUACUUUGUGUGUUUAUCUCUGAUCCAUGCUUAAAUGAUCGCUUCCCCUAUCAAUCAGACAUCCACAUCACGGUCAUCUUAGA